CCAGAAACCAGUGCUGCCCCUGCGAGCCAGCAGUGAAGCCACCACAGCUAGCAGACGUGACAAAAGUCUUGUGAACAUCAUCAGCGCAGACUUUGGCUCUCCCCUUCCCAGAGAUGUCAGUGCCCCCGGCACUGAUCGUACUGACAGCAUCCUCCCAGCCAUCUUCAGGAUGCUACAGGCUGUAUGUGGUGGCCUAAAUACAAGUGCCCAAAUCCCCCUGAGACACCUCAUUGUGUCCAGAGCAAUUGUGUGGGGCUUACACAGAAGACACAGCACUGCUGAGAGACCCUCACCCUCCUGCAGCAGCAGCCAGGGUCCAGACGUGGUACCCGUGAUUGCACUAGACACCCAUAUUUAGGCCACUUAAUCCUGCUGGGGGAGAUCAGUUCCAGGUGGGAACACCUGAAUUCAGGCAUCAAUGUGGAAGUUUGGUUCACUCCCGCCUACAGAGAUACAUUCUGUAUAAUCAAUGAAUCUAGAAAUAAUUAAUCUUUCUCAAACCAGGAUUCAGUUGCCUGAAAGCAGGUGCCUAAUGCUAUUUUAGGUGGUGUGGAGUAUACCGGUUGGUAUCCCAUUGCUGCACCAGAAAGAACAUGGGCUUCCUCUGCCUUGCAUCAUGUCUGUCAGCCAGAUACCUCAUCUGCCCUGGAGUGUCAAAUGACAGCAGAAGCCAACCUUAAGGGAACUGAAGACUAUACACGUUAUGUCUGAAGACCGGACAAGAAUGUACUCACUCCUCAAACCUGCAAUGAGAUCCUGCAAACAGAGCUAUAUCCAGCAAAGUUUUAUAGACUUGGGAUUAUCUCCAGCAUCUGUGCAGGAAACAUGAGAAAGGACAUUCACUCUCCAUGGUUUAAGAUGUUGCUAAUGAGGGUAAGGUUGCCUCCACUACCUCUUGUCAGCUCUUCCACGCACAUUCAAGUUAUUCUAUCAUUUCAAGCCCUCGCCUCCAACAACAAACUGCUAAGGGCUCUUUUCUAAAGGCUACCAUCUAACGGGUCUUGUGCUGUAGCACACCUGUAAAAGCAAGACAACUUGACUGAAAGCAUUCUCUUUGGCAUCUGCCACUCUCUCCUGUAUUGCUGGUUUGUGUGUUGUCUGACUAGAAAAACAUUUCUCAACCAUUUCUCUGCUGCUCAACUGACGGGAGAAUUUGGGACCAAUAACAUUACCUUGGUUCUUUGUGAUAAAAUGCAUCUUUAAAGAGCAAUACUGGCAUGACUGUUUCAAGCAUCAUAGCACAGCUCUUUUCAGUCAGCUGCCAUCCAGGACUAGGACAGCAACAGCCAAAGCCACUAGAGUCAACUGGAAGUAGCCAAAGCAGCAUAAAAUUCCUUUAAAAACCCCAGCACUUUCAAUUUUUUUUUAUGAUUGACAAAACAAAUAUAGCCUCAGUUGAAGGGGCAGAUUUCUGCAAAUGUACUACUUAAACUCACAGUGUUUUAAAGGUUUACUUCUGCGCUUCUAAUUCAACAUCUGGCUACACUGCCCUGAACAGAUCUGCUUCUGUGCUCAGAAGCUCCUUUAAUAAGGAUCUUUGAUUUGUUGUUUUUAAAUUACAGCUCACAAAACAUCAACAUUCUUUUCUGCUACUAGGAAAUAGGUAAUAACCAACAGAGGGAAAACAUGCAUACAGCUAACCUUGUUGUGUGUAAUAUGUAUCUUUUCAUUUAAAUUCACCAGUGAGUAAUAGUGAUGUAUUAUUUAGGAGAACGCCUUGCCAGUGUCUGCUAAUCACUCUUCCUAACAGUAACAGAUACGCUGCAUGGUCCAACAAAUUGUAAGUCAAUCUUCAGGUUCAGUGCAAGGCAAUAUCCUGAAAGAAAAAUGACUUUGGCAGUUUGCGAUCGGCAACUUGAAUUACGACCUUAGUACUCUGAGCAUCACACAGUUUCAUUUAAGAAGCAUGACCACAUGUUUAUGAAGUGAGGACUGGUUUUCUAUUUCACUGCAGAAGCCAAGUUAGAAAUCAUAAAGAUAGCAUGAUAUCCAUAGCCUGCCAGGGGAGGAAAAAUCAGGAACUGUUAAGUAUAAAAGGGAAAUAAUGAUAUAUAUGCAUAAUGUUUUAUAUAAUAUAUAAAAUACUAAUUAUAAUGUUGGGCUGGCGGUUGCUUAGUAAGAGAGCUUCUGUGCUUGUCCCAUUGCUCUGAAUAUAAAUGUGUUAUUCAUUUUUUCCAUUGUGAGUACCAAUUUUUACCAAUUUAUCGGAAACAUCUGAAUGACUGGUGUCCCCUGCUUCCAGAAAGGCCACUUUGGUAUAAUGUGCUCUGCAGCAUUGCUGAAAUGUGGGACAGAAGAGAAGCAAAGGCCAGGGGCUGUCUCGCUUUGCGUCCCCCUCGGCAACACGAAGGACGAGGCUAUGAUCCUGCAGGCUCUGCCCUUGCUGUCAGAGGUCAGAGCUGACUUGCCUGAGCACAUGGGGUUAGCUCGAAUGGUGCCCAGCACGGGCAGGGAGGACCCACUCCUGUUAUUAAUCCAGAGGAACAAUGACAGGAGCCAAACACAAAGCAACUGGCCUGUUGGCAGAGCCAAAAUGCAUCAGGAAAAAGGUUUCAGAAAAUCCUUCCUCUGUCACCCCUCAAAAGACAGGGCAGGGCUGGGCAGAGGGAAGCCUCAGAAGGGUUGAGCCAGGUAACACAAACCUCGUGGCAUGCGCCAGGUGAGGAGCUGCCCAAGCACAGAAGGGGGAGAGGUGACCUUUCCUGGUCCUGUCUCCCGCCAUGCCACCCAGAGCCAGGCAGGGUAUUUCUGACUUGCUGCCUUCAAGGCCUAAUCAGCUCAGGCUUUGUUUCGAAUGAGCCAGGAGACACCCCUGAGUCACGCAUCACAACAGUGAUCCUUCCAUCCUAGGUCAGACAUAGGCAGCCCUCCGUGGGGCAGGAGGGGACAGCCUGCACGGACACUUGAGCUGGCUCCCAGAAGGUCAAGGGAUUCACCAGGAGGGGGGAUACCAGCAAGCCAGGGCUCGGGGGGGUUGGCAGCUUAGCACCCACCUGCUCGCCCAUCUCCACAUCGAGAAGUGGAUGCCCUUGGAGCAGCUGGCCAGCAGCUCCCCACCACUGCAAGCAGGAGGUUUUGCUCCCCACUGUGCCCAGCUCCCCAGCCAGCUCCCAGCCUUUAGGCAGCCCUGGUGCUCCCUGGCUGUGAGCUUUGUAACCCUUGCCCCACAGGACAGGAGUCUUCUCCCCCGGAGGUUUGUGUGUGCCAUGGUGGUCAACCAGCACCUGACUGAGGGCAAGGAGACAGUGGCACUGUGUGGUGGGAAGUGGUCAGAAGAGGAACAGAAGUGAAGCAGGAGGAAGAGGAGCCACGUUCUCACUUCCAUUCACCAUCCUGUGCUGGCAUGGAGGCUCCCACCCUGCCAAGAGUCCUGCAGCUGACUCAUUGAAAUCAAUUCAGUGAGGUACGCCAGAAAUGAAGCUUGUGUUUUGAUGUCCUCUGCAGGAGUGCUGCAGCACCUUCUCCAGCCACAUUCAGGAGUACUGGGAUCCAGCACAUAUUGUACAUGGACAGCAAGAGAGAUGUUGAGAAGUCACCUCUCUCACCCAUUUCCCCCCCCAUCCUUCCUCUCACCCUGCUGUGUUUCCAGGACACUCUCCUCACUUUUUGGCUAGGAAAGUCCGCUGGCACAGUUUUACAUGAGCAAGGACUCCUUCCACAGAAACAGGAGUAAGUUUUUCUUAUCUUGUCUUCUCCCUGCUUUGAAGAUUUGCAUUUAGACCUCUGAACAGGUGCCUAGUUAGUUGUCAUGGCUAUUUCGGCAUUUCUAGUUCAAGAGGACAGUAACUCAGGCUGCUUUUUCUGCUGGACUGCUGAGCCAUGGAGAGAAGCCACCACACCGCCUCAGCCAGGCACUCCGUCAGGUGGCUUGAGAACCCAGGCACAGGGAUUAUUGGUCCCCUAUAGAAAGGGAACUGCGGUUCCCUGAUGGAAAGCCAUGACCAAGAACGAGUCAUGAUGUAAUUUAAACACACCGAAGAAGUGUCCAAAUGCACUAAUUGCAUCCACAAUGUAACAUGGCCUCAGCACACCAAAGACCCUGGCCCCUCCAAGCCUGCUGAACUAGUACCUAAGCAAUUGUGUUACUUACUUUCACCUUUCCACUGUCACUUUCUUUUAUUGCCUCAAGCAGUGUUGAGUUUUCCAGAGUGUGGACCAUGUCUGUUUGCCUGUAAAGCACUCGGCACAGUGAGCUUUCCUUGGCCGGGUCUCCUUGCGUCCCAUGCUGUUGCAGAUGCUCCAUCUGCACAAGGAUUUCACCUCCUCCUUCAGACACAGGGAAGGAGAAUAGGGAGGUGAUGAAUCCUUUGAAUUACAGGCUUUAAUAUACACACGUGGUAAUGCUUCUGAUUCCAAACCGCCAGGCGCAAUGGGACAUGUUCGUGCUGAAAUGGAAAUACAGUCCUGUUAGAAUAAAGUUCACCAUACAAACCGGGCCGUCUCAUUCAAUGAUUUUAUUUCACUCAGCCAGCACCCCAAAUUCUAAAUCAACAAAGUUCACGGUGGCACAGAUGUGGCCUAUCACUCAGGCUGUGAGCAUCAAGUAACACAUGGCAUGCUCAAGUUAUGGACGUCUUUAAGAGCUCUUAUUUGACCUUGGUCCCCAGCAGCAAACUCCUUUGGAUCUGAUGGGGAUGUGAUGAAGUAAUCCCUUCUUCAGUUAAAUAUGGCCUGAAAAGCAGCUGUUUAAUAAGCUGCAGAUGUAUUUAGGGGUCUUCAACAUUUAAGAUUACUUCUUAUUUUAAAAGAGCUCGGGAGUGUUUAUUUCUAUGAGAGGGUGCAACUCCACAAGUAUUUAUUCUUGCAUCCUAGAGCUUCUCAGCCUCUCUCAGCAACUCUUCCUGAAAUCCUUUGACUUUACUGUAUAGAAGGAUCCUGAAAGUGUAGGGAAUAAUCUGUUCCCUUACCUCAGUGCACUUAAGAUGUAUAACCCUGCUGCAACAGCCCCAUUAUCCCACUCAACGCUGUCAACUAUAUAUGCACCUAAAAGAAAUUAAGUUUGCGUUGAAAUAUGCAUGUGUGUACAUGGACUCUACACACACACACACAUGCAUACACACAUUUCUUUAAAAAAAGACGUCAAAAGCCUUUAACAUACACCCAUUUAAAAACGGGCGGUGAGUGUUUUGAGCCCAGAUGAACACAUCUCACUUCAAGCUCUCUAAGUCUUUAACUCUGCAGCUGCAUCCCUGCAGCACCGGCAAAUAUGCUGGAGCUGGACACCUGACACGGCCAGGCACCGCUGGGCUAGCGCCCUCCUGAUUCUGCUCCCCACACCUCUGAGGAAAGAGGAAACACCCUGGCAUGGUCCUUCCCCAGAAAACUGAAACCUGAAGUCAGAAGCACACGUCACAGCCUUGCUGUUGCCUCAACUACCGAUCUGCCAGGACAGUGCCAGAGCGUCGCCUCUGAUAUCUGUCAGAGGUGUUAACAUCCAGUUACAAGAAAAGAGCCCUGCAACCAAGGGAAAAACUGAUGCUGCCUUUUGUGUUCAGAGUUCAUAGCAAACUGUUAUGUGAGUUCAAAAGGCUGAUGCAAAGAAUGGCACCGGGCAUUACCCCCUGCGCAUCGGUAUUUAGGAUCCCCCUGCCUCUGUGGGGAUUAGGUUACUGGUGAGCAAGAAGUCCUUCGUGGUCAAAAAUACCCUGGGGACAGUCCACUUCCUAACUUUUCAUAAUAAACAGCAACAAAAGAAAAUCUGCCAUGUGCACCUGCAGGCACAGCCGCUUCUCUUCACUCUCUCACACAGGGUUGGGGUGUCCCUCCCUCUGCAAGCUGCGGUUCCUUCCCUCACCCCAGGAGGAACUGGGGGAUGCUCUGCCUUGAGUUGUGCUCCCCAAGGGUGGCAGAGCCUGUGCUGUCCUUUUGCAGCUACAGCAAUGAGACAGCAAAGCGCCGUGCACGGGGCCACGCUGCUCCUGCUGCCCCUGUCACCCCACAGGAAGAUAACCCUACAGGGGCAGAAUGGGGGAACAAUUUUCUCCAGCUUUUUGCCCAUUCAGUUCCCUGAAUGCAGCAAGACUUUCUUCGGGAGCAUCAUAAAGCAACUCGCUGAGAGAACACAGGAGAGAGGGGGAGGAGGGCUGCGCAGAGGUUGACAGGGGAAGGAGCAAAGUUAAAGGGAGUAUAACCUCACAUGGACAUCUGGGCUCAUAGCAGGGGCUGAACCACAUACUCACAACUUCUGGCCAUCAGAAGAUGAACCUUUGAAGACUUGCUUCAGCAGCAGGAGUCCAGCCCUGCUCACGGCCCAUCUGAACUCUCUAUCUGGUCCCCAGGAGGGUGCAGACAGAGCAUCCUUCCCCUCCAGCAACUGAAACAAAGACAAAACCAGCCAUCGCCUCUUCCCUCACAGCCCAGCCCGAAGGCUGUGCUUGUUACCUCUCCUGACCGACUGGUAAUGGCACAUUGGGUGGGUGAGGACAAGAUGUUGGUGCUCACUUGCCCCCAAAAAGAAGCAUCCAUCCAGGGAGUGGGAGCUGUGGGGUAUGAUCCAGUCGGGCUUUUGCAGGUACCUGUCUGCUGCAUGGGGGGACACCUGGGCAUAGCUGUGGUGGAGCUCACCUCAUGCUUUUGGCAUCUCCUCCACACCCAUUCCCAGUGCUGCUUUCCUCACCCUUUCUCCAGGCACCCAGCAAUUUAUUGAUCAUAUCUUGGCAUCAUUUUGAAGCCUACCACUCUGCUAGGCCAAGCAGCCAGAAAUUACUGUUUGGGAUGUGGCAACAGUAGGGUGGGAGGCUCCUCCAGAGCCAGACAUUGCAAGGAGUUAGGGAACAGGGCCCUGAGAAGAGCUUUGUGCUUCACCCAAACCACUCCUGACUCAAAUAUGGCCUCAGACAUGGUCUCAUAUAAGCAGAGCGAACUCCCUGACCUGCCUACCUUCUUGCUCACAGAGCUGCUUCAUGGGCUGCCUACUAAUGCUGUGUAUCACGCAUGGCCUGAGAAGCAGAUCUAAAAAACUGUGUUCCCUGGGGGACAGUGAUCUUGCAGGGUCUGAAUGCCAAAAGCGAGGAGGAUGCUGCCACUGACACCCCCCCUGCCCCGACGCAGGCAUUUUCUGAGGUUACCUGUAAGCCCUGUGGCCUGCGUGGGGUGGUGCUGCCCUCACCUCCAUGGCAUUAGCCACACAUAUUUUGCCUAAGCCACACACCAGGUGCCUUUCAUAAACAUGGUGUCCCUUGCACAAAGGCUUAUUUAUAUAUUGAUGACUGAUUUAUCCCAGUGGACUGGGAUGUCAGGGAGAUAUUCAGUAUGUGUUUCUGCCCUGUGGAUGUGCCUUCAAGCUCAUUACCCUAAGCACUGGUGGCUAGCUUCCCACAGCAGCAUGGGGUUCGGUCUAGGCUUCACACCCUACCCCACGAAUGAACAGAACAGCUCACGCAGAGCUCCAUGCCACAACGUUUUACUGGUUUGAUGCUACUGACCUGGAAGUGUUGUUGACAGACUAAUCUGGAAUGAGGGCACUACAGACAUACCUCAGGCUGUUUUCAUAGCAGCGCUGCUUUCCCUUCUGAUGGGUGUUUUGGUGGGGAUUUGUGCCAUCCAGGGAAUAUCUGGAGAAAAAUUUUCUGAAGGGAGCAGCUGACUGGCAAGGGACCCAGCUGCCCUUAAAGCUGUCAUGUGAGAUUUUUCACAGGAUGCCAGAGAGGGCACGAAAAUCAGCAAGAUCACAGGUUUUCCAGGCAUGGAUUCCCAGUCACCCUACCUGUAACUAUUAACACAAGCAUUACUUCACAGUGAACGAACUCUACCCGCUCCCCUUGCAGAGACGUGGCACAAGGGUCUUGCAACAUUUAAUAUUAUUUAAGCUCUCAAAAUAGGGCUCUAACAAGGCUUAAAUGCUGAGUUUGUGCUCAGCCUUCCAGAGGGAAGUUUAUUUCAUCCUGCAGGCCUAAUAUCCAUGGACUUGAAAGCAACUCUGGUAAAAGUAAAUUAAAAACAAACAAACAAACAACUGCUGUUUUACAUGUGCAUAAGCAUAUCUGCAUAUUUUUAUGGUUAUUCCCACAUGGUGGUAUUUGAAAAUGCACCCUAUGAAGUUUCUGGCCAAAGAUUAAAUGGUAUAAAUAUAAACAUAAGA
This is a long non-coding RNA of Falco peregrinus (peregrine falcon), 8080 nucleotides long. RefSeq lists it as uncharacterized. The record is from RefSeq and is a predicted model, not a curated record. The transcript has 3 exons. NCBI's taxonomy places the organism in Eukaryota, Metazoa, Chordata, Aves, Falconiformes, Falconidae.